CUUCUUAGCUAUUGCCACCUUUGGUACUGUGCUUUCAGUCUGAAAGGAGCUCAAAAGGACAAGUGAAGGUGGCUCACAGCCUGCUAUGUAGAUUUUUCAUUGUCCUCUCCUGUCUUCUGAACCCGUGAAUACUUCUUGCAUGAAGAUUUGAAGCAGCUGGGAGGCCAAGAUAUUGGCCAGGAAAAGCUGCAAGGAACAGAGCCUUGCACAUUCUUCUCAAAGAAAUAAAAUAUUGGAUACCACCAUGCUCGAGAGAGAAAAUUUGUCUGCGAAGAGACCUUUAAAGUCUGUAUUGGCGCAAGCAGAUUAACAAAUGGGAGUGAAGCUAUUCUUCAAAAUGCACUUGAGCCAUUUUAGUGGAAGUCUCCCUGCCCUUCUUUCUCCAUUGAAAAGCGCCUUGGGUGUCACAAUGACCAUUCAUAACUUCUGACAGGCUAAUGGGCUCCGUUUCACUCGCAGCGGGACAUUUUUGGCACACACUGCAUUGUGGGGUAAUGGUCAGCCUUUACUUUCACACAAUAACAGCAGAAAAGUUACUGAUCUCAACAAGCCUACCCAGUAGUAGUCUGAGAAGCCUGUGCAAAAUAGUUCCUGUAGGACAACUAAGAUUUUGGUGGAAGUGUCAAAACAGUAAAUUCUUUUAACACUCCCCAAAACAUUGCAGAUAAACCUGUUAUCUCCUUAUGAAAAAGAAAAUAAAUAAAAAGGAGCCAAGUCGUCUCAAGAAGCUGGUGAAAACAGCCCCAAGCAAGACAGAUAUACCAAGUCUAAAAAUGUAAAUAACUAUUCUGGACAAAAAAAACUGGAGUGGGGGAGAAUAAGCAAAGCAGCAGCAAAAGAUGAAAGGAAGAGAAGAACAGAGCGAAAAUAAAAUAAACCAUUAAACCAGAGACAAUGAAAACCUCAGAAUGCAUCUUGUACUGAAGACAUGUCAUGAAGAGAAAGGAAUACCAUAAGCAACCUCUAAUUCAGCGCAAUUAUAGGGCUUAAGCCCUUGCUCAGGUAACAUUUUGCUAAUUAUAUGGGAGGCAGAAAAAGGGAAACUAUGCAUCUCUUGUAGAACACAAUUCUACUAAAACAGAUGCUUAAUUAGGUAGCAGUCAAAAGGCUUUUUACAAGAAUUUGUAUGACAACUCCUCCAACGCCUUAUAAUAAAACAACGAACUAUACUAGACCCAAAAAUGCUGGGUUAUCUACAUCUCUUCUUAUACUAAAGAUAUUCAAGAGUAUGUGACCAGCAUGAAGCUGCAAUAACACACAACACGAGGCAAAUGGCAAAUCUAUUUUUAGGCUAUUUUCCUAACACAGUUCUGGUAAUUGUGAUGAGUUACACAUGCCAUUCCCCCUGUAACAUUCACUUUACAAGACACCUAGGCCUAAGAAUCAGCAGACUACAAUCAGCAUCUCAAAUCACCGAAGAUUGUCUCACAUCUGCAGAUUUCAAGUUUGUCUUAUUAAACAGGUAUAUUUAUAUAGCCCUUUCUAAGGCAGAACGUAGCGCUGCAACACUUCCUUCCCUCUAUGUUUUAAUAAAGAGGAAUGCAUUCAA
Long non-coding RNA from Falco peregrinus (peregrine falcon), 1549 nucleotides. RefSeq lists it as uncharacterized. NCBI's taxonomy places the organism in Eukaryota, Metazoa, Chordata, Aves, Falconiformes, Falconidae. The record is from RefSeq and is a predicted model, not a curated record. The transcript has 3 exons.